GCUAACCUAAAUUACAGUUAACUCAUCGGCCUCCUAAGCCGAAGAUUCUCGGUUCGAGUCCGAGGCAUGGCG
This 72-nucleotide transfer RNA is filed under the name Xylaria grammica. It matches the Rfam family "tRNA". Rfam says of the family: Transfer RNA (tRNA) molecules are approximately 80 nucleotides in length. Their secondary structure includes four short double-helical elements and three loops (D, anti-codon, and T loops). Further hydrogen bonds mediate the characteristic L-shaped molecular structure. tRNAs have two regions of fundamental functional importance: the anti-codon, which is responsible for specific mRNA codon recognition, and the 3' end, to which the tRNAs corresponding amino acid is attached (by aminoacyl-tRNA synthetases). tRNAs cope with the degeneracy of the genetic code in two manners: having more than one tRNA (with a specific anti-codon) for a particular amino acid; and 'wobble' base-pairing, i.e. permitting non-standard base-pairing at the 3rd anti-codon position. RNAcentral also lists the same sequence under 1 other name. Lineage: Eukaryota; Fungi; Ascomycota; Sordariomycetes; Xylariales; Xylariaceae. The record is from Rfam by way of RNAcentral.